RNAcentral lists this ribosomal RNA (590 nucleotides) under uncultured bacterium. RNAcentral describes it as "bacterial SSU rRNA". It matches the Rfam family "Bacterial small subunit ribosomal RNA", at positions 66 to 666 of the family's 1533-position model. The record is from RNAcentral.
AUUGACUUCUUCGGAAUGAUUUUGAUUAAGUUUAGUGGCGGACGGGUGAGUAACGCGUGAGUAACCUGCCUCUGAGAGGGGAAUAACAUUCUGAAAAGAAUGCUAAUACCGCAUAACAUAUAUUUAUCGCAUGGUAGAUAUAUCAAAGAUUUAUCGCUUAGAGAUGGACUCGCGUCCGAUUAGUUAGUUGGUGAGGUAACGGCUCACCAAGACCGCGAUCGGUAGCCGGACUGAGAGGUUGAACGGCCACAUUGGGACUGAGACACGGCCCAGACUCCUACGGGAGGCAGCAGUGGGGGAUAUUGCGCAAUGGGGGAAACCCUGACGCAGCAACGCCGCGUGAAGGAUGAAGGUCUUCGGAUUGUAAACUUCUUUUAUUAAGGACGAAGAAAGUGACGGUACUUAAUGAAUAAGCUCCGGCUAACUACGUGCCAGCAGCCGCGGUAAUACGUAGGGAGCAAGCGUUGUCCGGAUUUACUGGGUGUAAAGGGUGCGUAGGCGGCUUUGCAAGUCAGAUGUGAAAUCUAUGGGCUCAACCCAUAGCCUGCAUUUGAAACUGCAGAGCUUGAGUGAAGUAGAGGCAGGCGGAA